GGAAAGGCCCUUUCGGGGGUACUCGAGUGGCGAACGGGUGAGUAACACGUGGGUGAUCUGCCCUGCACUUCGGGAUAAGCUUGGGAAACUGGGUCUAAUACCGGAUAGGACUACGGCCUGCAUGGGUUGUGGUGGAAAGCUUUUGCGGUGUGGGAUGGGCCCGCGGCCUAUCAGCUUGUUGGUGGGGUGAUGGCCUACCAAGGCGACGACGGGUAGCCGGCCUGAGAGGGUGUCCGGCCACACUGGGACUGAGAUACGGCCCAGACUCCUACGGGAGGCAGCAGUGGGGAAUAUUGCACAAUGGGCGCAAGCCUGAUGCAGCGACGCCGCGUGGGGGAUGACGGCCUUCGGGUUGUAAACCUCUUUCACCAUCGGCGAAGCCUCUGGGUGUUCUCAGGGGUGACGGUAGGUGGAGAAGAAGCACCGGCCAACUACGUGCCAGCAGCCGCGGUAAUACGUAGGGUGCGAGCGUUGUCCGGAAUUACUGGGCGUAAAGAGCUCGUAGGUGGUUUGUCGCGUUGUCCGUGAAAUUCUCUGGCUUAACUGGGG
RNAcentral lists this ribosomal RNA (549 nucleotides) under uncultured bacterium. Its description in RNAcentral is "bacterial SSU rRNA". It matches the Rfam family "Bacterial small subunit ribosomal RNA", at positions 68 to 618 of the family's 1533-position model. The record is from RNAcentral.